RNAcentral lists this ribosomal RNA (450 nucleotides) under uncultured bacterium. Its description in RNAcentral is "partial 16S ribosomal RNA". It matches the Rfam family "Bacterial small subunit ribosomal RNA", at positions 29 to 523 of the family's 1533-position model. The record is from RNAcentral.
AGCGAACGCUGGCGGCAGGCUUAACACAUGCAAGUCGAGCGGGCCCUUCGGGGUCAGCGGUAGACGGGUGAGUAACGCGUGGGAACGUACCCUUUGGUUCGGAAUUACUGAGGGAAACUUGAGCUAAUACCGGAUACGCCCUUUUUGGGGCCAGGCUUGCUGCCGAAGGAGCGGCCCGCGUCUGAUUAGCUUGUUGGUGCGGUUAUGGCUCACCAAGGCGACGAUCAGUAGUUGGUUUGUGAGGAUGAUCAGCCACACUGGGACUGUGACACGGCGCAGACUCGUACGGGAGGCAGAAGUGGGGGAUAGUGAACAAUGGCGGGAACCCUGGUCCUGCCAUGCCGCGUGAGUGAUGACGGCCUUAGGGUUGUAAAGCUCGUUUCUCCGGGACGAUAAUGACGGUACCGGAGGAAUAAGCCCCGGCUAACUUCGUGCCAGCAGCCGCAGUAA